RNAcentral lists this ribosomal RNA (622 nucleotides) under uncultured bacterium. Its description in RNAcentral is "bacterial SSU rRNA". It matches the Rfam family "Bacterial small subunit ribosomal RNA", at positions 65 to 673 of the family's 1533-position model. The record is from RNAcentral.
AACGAGAAAGCCCCUUCGGGGGUGAGUAGAGUGGCGCACGGGUGAGUAACGCGUGGGUAAUCUGCCCUUGAGUUUGGGAUAACCUGUCGAAAGGCGGGCUAAUACCGGAUAAUAGCUGUUUCUGUUAGGGAGACAGGUCAAAGAUGGCUUCGGCUGUCGCUUGGGGAUGAGCCCGCGUCUCAUUAGCUAGUUGGUGGGGUAAAGGCCUACCAAGGCAACGAUGGGUAGCUGGUCUGAGAGGAUGAUCAGUCACACUGGAACUGAAACACGGUCCAGACUCCUACGGGAGGCAGCAGUGGGGAAUAUUGCGCAAUGGGGGAAACCCUGACGCAGCGACGCCGCGUGAGUGAGGAAGGCCUUCGGGUCGUAAAGCUCUGUCAGAGGGGAAGAAGAUACUAAGGUUAAGAGCUGUAGUAUUUGACGGUACCCUCAAAGGAAGCACCGGCUAACUCCGUGCCAGCAGCCGCGGUAAUACGGAGGGUGCAAGCGUUGUUCGGAUUUAUUGGGCGUAAAGAGCAUGUAGGCGGUCUGUUAAGUCAGAGGUGAAAGCCCCGGGCUCAACCUGGGAAGUGCCUUUGAUACUGGCAGACUUGAGUACGGGAGAGGGUAGUGGAAUUCCAAG